RNAcentral lists this ribosomal RNA (173 nucleotides) under Clostridium beijerinckii. RNAcentral's name for it is "partial 16S ribosomal RNA". It matches the Rfam family "Bacterial small subunit ribosomal RNA", at positions 1366 to 1533 of the family's 1533-position model. Lineage: Bacteria; Bacillati; Bacillota; Clostridia; Eubacteriales; Clostridiaceae. The record is from RNAcentral.
AUACGUUCCCGGGCCUUGUACACACCGCCCGUCACACCAUGAGAGUUGGCAAUACCCAAAGUUCGUGAGCUAACGCGUAAGCGGGGCAGCGACCUAAGGUAGGGUCAGCGAUUGGGGUGAAGUCGUAACAAGGUAGCCGUAGGAGAACCUGCGGCUGGAUCACCUCCUUUCUA